GGGGAUGCAGUUUGCAGAAAUUAAUCUUCUCCUCAGGUGGGCUUGACAUCCCUUGAACCCUUGGACUCCUGGGCACUUUACCUAGCUGGCAAAGUUGGUUUGAAGUUUGUUGGGAGUUUCUCUCCCACUCUCUGGCACAUGUCUUGAGAAAGAGUACUUGUGAAUUCUUCUCAUUUGGUCCAAUCAUCAUGUCACUAACGUGGUGGACCAGUGGAAAGUCCUGCGGAUGGCAAGGUUGUCAAAUUUCCUGUGGAUUAAAUUAUGACAGGGAGCUGGAGACUUGCUGUAGCCCUGGCAUGGGACUCCUGUGUGCUGCUUACUCCUCUGGGCUAUACAAAAACAGGUGUGGGCCAUACGCGCCAAUCCCAGAUCACUGAGAUUACUAUGCAUGGAAGAAAAUAUAAUCGUAGAUGCACAUGAAGGAUGCAGGUGAUACAAUAAAAUAUCAAAAGAAAUAUAAAACUGAAUGGUGUGAUACCUCUGAAUGAAGAUUUAAGCUGCUCUGUGGUUGUGAGGACUACUAUAUCACUAAUAACGAAAAGGUCAUGUCUGUGAGUAAGCCUGGACCUCUCUCAGCCCCUUCCCACUGAAGAUCACACACAUGGAAG
Molecule: long non-coding RNA, 608 nt
Filed under: Equus caballus (horse)
Lineage: Eukaryota; Metazoa; Chordata; Mammalia; Perissodactyla; Equidae
Description: lncRNA (ENSECAG00000054290.1)
Source: RNAcentral